GAAAUGCGAUAAGUAAUGUGAAUUGCAGAAUUCAGUGAAUCAUCGAAUCUUUGAACGCACAUUGCGCCCGCCAGUAUUCUGGCGGGCAUGCCUGUUCGAGCGUCAUUACAACCCUCAGGCCCCCGGGCCUGGCGUUGGGGAUCGGCGGAAGCCCCCUGCGGGCACAACGCCGUCCCCCAAAUACAGUGGCGGUCCCGCCGCAGCUUCCAUUGCGUAGUAGCUAACACCUCGCAACUGGAGAGCGGCGCGGCCACGCCGUAAAACACCCAACUUAUGAAUGUUGACCUCGAAUCAGGUAGGAAUACCCGCUGAACUUAAGC
This 320-nucleotide unclassified non-coding RNA is filed under the name plant metagenome. RNAcentral's name for it is "partial contains 5.8S ribosomal RNA, internal transcribed spacer 2, and large subunit ribosomal RNA". The stretch from base 1 to 105 matches the Rfam family "5.8S ribosomal RNA", at positions 50 to 154 of the family's 154-position model. The record is from RNAcentral.